AUGAGGGGUGAACUCAACAUUGACCGUUUGAAGAUCUUGGCUGAUCCUGGUUUGCCCCUGAGGGGUUUACUUCAGUUACUCAUGGUCCACCGUGGCCCAGAAAAAAAUGAUCCUUCUCCUGACCCAUCAUCAGAAAGUCAAUGGCGGCCUAACGCUGUGUCACAUCUCGUCAUCAAAAGAAGAAGAAAGGACGUUUGCUGGAAAAGGCCCUUUCUUACUACAACAGGGGUACCUGUUACUGUCCAAGAAUGUGGGGCGUCACCAUUAACUGGAAGGCACAUGAGAAGUGUAGCUUCGGAGUGUGCAUUGCACAUCCAGGUUCUAUGUGAACUUGGGCAAACAGGAAAAACCGGUCUCAUCUGCCUAGUCGGUUCCAGUGGCUUUAUUUUCCAUCUUGUUCGCCCUCUGCUGGUUUUUCAGAAGAAGAACACGAAUGUCUGCAGCUGGUGUGUGAAGAAUGGAUUAGAAGAAGUCAAGAAUAUAACAAAGUGAGACCACCCAGAAGAACAGGGUCCAGACUGACUCGCAAGCAAGGCUCGAGAGUGGAACGUGGAGCAGAUGAACCAGCGUGGAGAGCACGCCAUGAGCACCAAACGGGUUUGCUGGCACUGGGGGGAGGGGGACAGAUCAGAAGUCCAGUUAUAUGUGUGUGGAUUUUGACCUGGACUGGAAAUAUAACUUACAAAGUCCUUAGCAUGUAAUUUGAGCCAAGGAAAGGGAUUCUGUUGCAGUGGGAGAAAUGAAGGAAAAACCUGAAGCAAAAUACUUCAAGGCAUUUCAAUAUAUAAGGUUAAGACAAGGAGGACAAGCCGACAAGUGAUACCAAGAAAGGGCAACCGGGCAUUUAAGAACCAAAGUAGGACAGCAUAGCAUCAGAGAGGCAAGGAAAACAGUUCUUCAUGAAGGAAGAAAUUAACCGAGUCGUGGGGGCAGACGCCAGAUUGCGGGGGGUUGAAGAAUGAAUAGCAGGUGACAGGAGGCAAGGAAUGUAGCCAGUGGAAGGGAAUUCGAGAAUGUUGGCCGCGAAGGGGUGAAAUUUCCAUUUUGGACGCAUUGAACUGGAUAUGCUCAUAUGGUGUUGAAGUGGUGAAGUCCAGAAAGAGCCAGAUCUAGGGAAAAAAACUAUGGCUGAUGGACAUGUCUUGCAUGCAGAAAUAGAUUCGGUUUGCAAGAGUGUAAGCGGUGUGGAAACCUGAGGUUAGAUGAAAUUACCAGAAAGAGCAUGAGGCGCAGCAACAUAAGGCAGAAAUGGAGACAGAGCAAAGCAAAUGCUUAAAGGGGAAGCCAAAAGAAGCAGAGCCUGGGGACAGGGAGAUGAAUAAUUGGCAGAGAGGCAGGAAGAAAAGCAGGAGAGCGUGAGCUUGAAGGCUAGAAAGCCUGGAGUUUCAGGAAGAGCAAAAUGCUGCAAAUAAGUCAGAGCAAGAUCAAAAACCAAUCUUUGGAUUUAACGUUUGAACGUCAUUUAAGACUUUAGUAUGAUAAAUUUCUGUUGUGUUUUACAGUUAGAAGCCAGAUCAUAAAGGGUUCAUUAAAAUAUGGAGAAGUUAGCGGGGAGCCUGGGUGGUUCAGUCAAUUAAGUGUCUGCCUUCUGCUCAGGUCAUGAUCUCAUGAUUUCAGGGUCCCGGGAUGGAGCCCCGUAUCGGGCUCCCUGCUCAAUGGGGAGUCUGCUUCUCCCUCUUUCUCUGCCCCUCCCCCCAACGUGUGCUCAGUCUCUCUCUCAAAUAAAUAAAUAAAAUGUUUAAAAAUUGGGCGCCUGGGUGGCUCAGUGGGUUAAAG
This 1776-nucleotide long non-coding RNA is filed under the name Mustela putorius furo (domestic ferret). Its description in RNAcentral is "lncRNA (ENSMPUG00000025675.1)". Lineage: Eukaryota; Metazoa; Chordata; Mammalia; Carnivora; Mustelidae. The record is from RNAcentral.